UCUUUUUCUUUUUUUGCAAAGUUUUCAUUCUUUGUUGGGUCCAACAAGUAUAUGGCUGAGAAUUGAAAUUGUUUAAGUUUGGUAUGUGAUUUUGCAUUUUGUGGUAUAAUAGGAAUAGGGUCAUGAGAGAGAAUCGCAUACAUAAGAUGGUGUGGGCUACAUAUAAUUUCCCUCACUCUCAAAUUAAGUUGUAAAGCAACCGAAGCCUUGGGUAUCACAGAUAAAGAUGCAUUUUCAUGUUUAUUACGAUUUUAGAUGAUGCGAAUGUUGUAGCUGACAUUCAUGCAGAUGCUAAUCUAGUCCGUGUUGGUACCCAACUUUUGCAUGAAGAAGAAAGCUCAGGGAAUUGGAUUUAUGUUUUUUCUGCUAAUUGUGUUGAUAAUUUUUCUC
Prunus avium (sweet cherry) is the source of this 390-nucleotide non-coding RNA. Lineage: Eukaryota; Viridiplantae; Streptophyta; Magnoliopsida; Rosales; Rosaceae. The record is from RefSeq and is a predicted model, not a curated record.